RNAcentral lists this transfer RNA (74 nucleotides) under Actinomadura cremea. Its description in RNAcentral is "tRNA-Arg". It matches the Rfam family "tRNA". Rfam says of the family: Transfer RNA (tRNA) molecules are approximately 80 nucleotides in length. Their secondary structure includes four short double-helical elements and three loops (D, anti-codon, and T loops). The record is from RNAcentral. Lineage: Bacteria; Bacillati; Actinomycetota; Actinomycetes; Streptosporangiales; Thermomonosporaceae.
GCCUCCGUAGCUCAGGGGAUAGAGCACCGCUCUCCUAAAGCGGGUGUCGCAGGUUCGAAUCCUGCCGGGGGCGC